This is a non-coding RNA of Rattus norvegicus (Norway rat), 3660 nucleotides long. The record is from RefSeq and is a predicted model, not a curated record. Lineage: Eukaryota; Metazoa; Chordata; Mammalia; Rodentia; Muridae.
GAUAAUAGAAAUUGGGGUUGGGGAUUUAGCUCAGUGGUAGAGCUCUUGCCUAGCAAGCGCAAGGCCCUGGGUUCGGUCCCCAGCUCCGAAAAAAAGAAAAGAAAAAAAAAAAGAUAAUAGAAAUUAAUUCCCAUGAUAGUUAUGGAUCCAUCUAUAAACGUGAAGGUCCCAAGAAUCUGGUAGUAUAAAUUUCAGUCCAAGUUUAAAGAAUAGACAAAAGAAGAGCUUAAAUAGUGUAAGUUGAAGUUGGAAGGCAGAGGGUUUUUCAUGGCUCAACCAUACAACCAAAGACUGUGAUUCAGUCUCUUUUGACUUUUGCAUUCUGUACAGACCAGAAAACAUUUGUGGACCUCUACCCACUCUGGGGAAUGUGGUCUCCAUUACAAAGUAUAUGAUUCAAGUGACCAUACCAUCUGGAAACACCAUCAUAGAAACACCAAGAAGCAGCACUUACUGGAGCAUCUUGAUGCCACAUGGUUUCAUCAAGUUGACACAGCAAAUUUACCAUUACAGAAGGCUGCCUAGAGGAACACAGCAUGGGGAGUGCCUUAGUUGCUGUCCUUUUGCUGUAAUAGGACAUCAUGACCAACAAGGAGAGUGUCUUAGAUGCUAUCCUAUUGCUGUAAUUACAAAAGAAAGGGUAUUUGGGGUUUAUAGUUUCAGAGGGGUAGAGUCCAUGCCCAUCAUAGUGGGGAGCAUGAUAGCAGGCAGGCAGGCAUGGCACUGGGGCAGUAACUGGGGGAAUCACAUCUUUAUCCCUAAUCAGGAGGCAAAGAGAGAUGACCAGGAGUGCUGUGGGCUUUAGAAACCUCAAAGCCAACCCCUAGCAACACUCCACUUUAACAAAGCCAACUCCUAGUAACACAGCCCCUUCAACAAGGCUACACAUUCUAAUUCUUUAGUGCCACCAACAGGACAAAAUGAUCAAAUAUAUGAGCUCAGGGGAGUGACUCAUAUUCAAACCACCACAGAGACAUAAUCCAGCACACACUCACAUGCCCCUCUCUAAUAUGAGACUGAAGCCUUUGCUUCACAAGGACCCAUGUCACACUCUGAAGGAAAGACGGAUGGCCUAGUGGACAAGCAAGGCAAGUUUACAAUGUCACAUACAUGCAGAGGCCACUCCAAGGGGCCAUUAUUAUAUUUUAAAAAUUAUUUUUAUGUAUUUAUGCAUGAAUAUAAUACAUUUUAAACUUUUAACACCCUGUUCCUCUUUGCACUUUUGACUCUCCUGCUGUACCUCUUUUUCUCUCCCUCAAACUCUCCUUCCUACUUUUCUAUCUUUUUGUGUGCCCUACUGUGUUUAAUUAGUAUUAACUGCUCAAGUACAACUGGGAUGUUAUUUAUUAAAGCAUUGCAAAAAUCAGUAGCUACACCAUUUAGGAAAGAAAACAACAGUAGUUCCUUCAGAAAUUAACUGUCAGUAGUCCCUCAGGGAAUGAUGGGGACCCAUGGGCUUCCUUCAAGAGGCCACAAUUCUUGUCUCUUCUCUAAAAGAAUGACUCUAGGAAUGAUGGGAAGAAGACUCUUUAGAGAUAGCCAUGCUUUUAUAUCUGGAUGCAUCCAUCCUCCCUGCAGACUGAUUUGAUCGAGAACUAUUCUGAACUACGGUUGGUCAUCAGCAUCUUCUCAAAAGUUCCAGGCUAGCAUGGUACCUGGAUCACCUCGAGACUCCAUGUAUUAGUCAGGGGUUCUCUAGAGCCACAGAACUUAUGGGUAGUCUCUAUAUGGUAAGGGAAUUUGUUAUGAUAACUUACAGUCUGUAGUCCAACUCCCCAACAAUGGUCGGCUGUGAAUGGAAGUCCAAGGGUCUAGUAGUUGCUCACUCCCACAAGGCAAGCAGGUGAAGAAGAGUGAAUCUUCCUUCUUCCAAUGUCCUUGGCCCAGAUUAAAGUGUGUACCACCACACCUGGAUCUGGGACUUGCUUUGUCCCAGAUGACCUUGAACUCAGUGGUCUCCUGGGAUUCGUAGCCGCCAUGCCUCAAGAUCUCCAUGACAAGAUCCAGGUCAGAAACUUGUACCUCCUAGCCUCAAGAUCUGCAUCACAGAUGAAUGAAUAGCCCACGGGAACUUCUGACAAGUUAAAAGAGAAGGGAACUUCUGAAGACAUCACUGUUUUCCAAGUACUAAUGUAUGAAGACUUUUCUACAAAGAAAAAAUGGAGCAGCGUGUAUAAAAUACAGAAAUAAACACAGAAUAUCAUGGUUCAUAAUAGACCGCUAGAAAGGACUUGAGAGAAUCGUGAACUUGGCAUUAGUGUAUUUAGACAUAUGCUUUGAAGACUGGAGUGAAGAAACAGAAAGAAUGGUCUCCUGCCAUUUGGGUAAUACAUUUCGAGUCUCUGUUCUAUGGUAGGAGAUCCAGCCUUGUUGGAGUAGGUGUGGCCUUGCUGGAGGAAAGGUGUCACUGUAGGGGUAGGCUUUGAGACCUUCCUCCUAGCUGCCUGGAGGACAUUGGUCCUUUUCUGGCUGUCUUCUGAUCAAGAUGCAGAACUUCAGCUCCUUCUCCAGCACCAUGCCUGCCUGGAUGUUGCCAUGCUUCCCAUCUUGAUGAUAAUGGACUGAACAUCUGAACCCAUAAGCCAGCUCCAAUUAAAUGUUGUCUUUUAUAAAAGUUGCCUUGGUCAUACCUGUUCACAGCAAUGGAAACCCUAAGACAGCGUCUAUCAACUUAAUAUAAGGAACAACAAAAUGAUCCACCACCAAGCAUGUGUUUUUAGCAGGUCUUAUCAAAUGGGAAAUAUGUCUAGUGCUUUAUAAUUUGAUCCCUAACUCCAGCCAAGUAAUGACCAGUGUCCCACCUUAGAUUUCCUAAAUGUCAGUUCUCUCAUUCUAAGACUACAAAAAUGGACUAUGAAGUCAACACCCCUUAGCUAUUCAUAUUACCUAGAACACAGAAAAUGCCACGUGCUCAGAACCUAUUCAAACGAUCUCUUUUUAAUUACUUGCUUGCCAUGCUUAAGACAUUGUGGGUUUAUGUCAUUCAGUGCUGGCUAUUUUUAGGUUCUUGUAAUCGUACAAGUACCUUGAUGAAGUAAAUACUAUCAUUCUCUAAUUUUACAGAUGAUCUGUUUUGCGUUGAUUCUGAACUCACAUUGAAUAGCUCCUUGUCAACUGUAAAUAGCAAUUUUCAAAUCGGCUUCUGACAACAGCUGCAAUCAAACGUGGAGGGAGGGUUGCUGACACCUGUGCACACGUGACAAUCCUACCAAUCUUUCCUUCCUUCUGCCAUUGUUCUCUUGACUGUAGGCUCUUUUCAAGGCUCCCUUUUGGCCAGUCAGUAAACAAACCCAAAAGAAAUACAAAUGACUGCAGAAAUAUCUUACUUAGUAAAGACCAUGUUGCACAAGCGCGAAGAUGCAGCACACACAUAAAAAAGAAAAAACCUAAAUGGUGGUAUAGAUAUAUAGCCUCAGUGUUUAGGAAAUUGAGACAAAUGGACCCCUGUGGCUUAGUAGCCUGGCCUAAUUGGAAAACUCAGGUUCCAAUAAGAGACCUUGUCAUAAAACCAGACUCCUAAACAAUGACACCUUCUGGCCUCCACGUAUCAUCAUCAUGCAUCAGCACACACACGCGCGCACACACACACACACACACACACACACACACACACACACACACACACACACGAAAUACAAGACAGGUUGAUGCUCAUCAACA